AUUGAACGCUGGCGGCAUGCUUUACACAUGCAAGUCGAACGGUAACAGGCCUUCGGGUGCUGACGAGUGGCGAACGGGUGAGUAAUGCAUCGGAACGUGCCCAGAGGUGGGGGAUAACGCAGCGAAAGCUGUGCUAAUACCGCAUGUGAUCUGAGGAUGAAAGCGGGGGACCAGGCAGCAAUGUUUGGCCUCGCGCCUUUGGAGCGGCCGAUGUCAGAUUAGGUAGUUGGUGGGGUAAAGGCCUACCAAGCCGACGAUCUGUAGCUGGUCUGAGAGGACGACCAGCCACACUGGGACUGAGACACGGCCCAGACUCCUACGGGAGGCAGCAGUGGGGAAUUUUGGACAAUGGGCGCAAGCCUGAUCCAGCAAUGCCGCGUGCGGGAAGAAGGCCUUCGGGUUGUAAACCGCUUUUGUACGGAACGAAAAGGCUCUGGCUAAUACCUGGGGCUGAUGACGGUACCGUAAGAAUAAGCACCGGUUAACUACGUG
Molecule: ribosomal RNA, 492 nt
Filed under: uncultured bacterium
Lineage: Bacteria
Description: partial 16S ribosomal RNA
Rfam family: Bacterial small subunit ribosomal RNA
Source: RNAcentral